Molecule: ribosomal RNA, 301 nt
Filed under: uncultured bacterium
Lineage: Bacteria
Description: partial 16S ribosomal RNA
Rfam family: Bacterial small subunit ribosomal RNA
Source: RNAcentral
CAGUCGCCGCGGGAAUACGAAGGGGGCUAGCGUUGCUCGGAAUGACUGGGCGUAAAGGGCGCGUAGGCGGCGGCCAAAGUCAGGCGUGAAAUUCCCGGGCUCAACCUGGGGGCUGCGUUUGAUACUUGGUUGCUUGAGUGGGGAAGAGGGUCGUGGAAUUCCCAGUGUAGAGGUGAAAUUCGUAGAUAUUGGGAAGAACACCGGUGGCGAAGGCGGCGACCUGGUCCUUGACUGACGCUGAGGCGCGAAAGCGUGGGGAGCAAACAGGAUUAGAUACCCCAGUAGUCCCUGUCUCUUAUAC